Molecule: long non-coding RNA, 2657 nt
Filed under: Paramuricea clavata
Lineage: Eukaryota; Metazoa; Cnidaria; Anthozoa; Malacalcyonacea; Plexauridae
Source: RNAcentral
GGACACACAGGAAGUUGUCAUCCUCUGUUUGUGCUCGGUCCAGUCUCAUUUCUGACAAUAACACGCGCGUUGUUUUUAUCGCAAUUGAAUUUAAUGCCCAAGGAGCGAAGAAGUUUCCAAAAUAUUUUGAGAUUUUUUGAGCGACAGUCCGUCAAAUAACGAGUUAUUGAGGCAACAUGACGAGUAGGAAAGGAUACUACGCUAACAGGGAUGCUUCGAAAGUGUAUCAAAGUGUAUCUAUUUUAUUGUUUUCCUCGAUGGAGAGCGCAUUCCAUUUCUGCGUCUGCCCAUGAAUGGCCAUGAUAUACCUGCAUCCUCAAGCUUCUACAAAGGUUGUCAAGAAAAGAAUCCUAGAAGGAUUGGAGAUUGCUCCGAACAUAGCUGCAAUGUUGAUCCUUCAGAGAAAUCGCUUGUUGAAGCCCAUCAAUCGAGGUUUUAAUGACUAUAAAAUUUUCUUUAUUACACUAUUUCACUAUCGUUAAUAUAUACGAACUGUUUAUCUAUUUUGUUUACAAACUGAAACCCAUAAUAUAAUUAUAAAGGCCUAAAGAUAUGAUACUCGAGACUAGUGAGUUGUCGAUGAAAAAAUAAUGAACAAUUUGGAGUGAACAUGUUUGGGACUUUGGGGAUGGCUGUUUAUAUAUACAUGUUAUUGUCACUUGUCAGAGUGAUAAUCUACUUGGCUGUGGCAGUGAUUUACUGUCUUUGACUGUCUGCUCAUGGACAACUUGUGCUCACUUAAAACUUAAUAGAAACACAUCAAAAAGUUUCUCUGAUCAAAGCUAAAGUAGAUUUUAAUUUGAUCAAAGCACAUAACAGUUUAAAUGCCAUUUAGUUGCUCUGAAGUUACAGUACUUGACCUAAUGGGGUGUUUAUAUGGAGGCAAGCCAGCUCUCGGGUGCCUGAGCUAGCUCGCUUGGCCGAGAUCUAAUGUUGCUAGAUAAUUUAUACUAAUAUUCGUAUUGUGUGUAUAUGAGAACCAGGCUUGCUUGCCUAAGCAAGAUCUUGUUUAAUUUGUGAAGCCCGACAGAGCCCCAGAUCUCGCCUAGGUUGGCUGGUUUGCCUAAGCCGCUCAAUACGAAUAUAUUGUACUAAUUGUAGUAAAUAAGACUUUCUCAACAGAUUUUUGAUCUAUAAUUUUAUAAAUUAAUGCCUCUGUGAACAGUUGUGAUGGUCAUAACCAUGACAGUUUCUCGCGAUGAUUUGUUUUGGUGCCAGCCUACUACAUGAUGAAAUUAGCUAGGCAAAGCCACCUAGCUCAGGUAACUGGGCUGGCUUGCUUCCAUAUAAACACCCCUAAGACAUUUAGUUUAUAAAAGAUUUUGAUCACAAAUACUUAUAUGAUGUAAACAAACUCAACUAAAAAGUAUAUUUUCCACCCUAAUUGUAAGUAAAAGCUUGCAUAUAAGAACCUGUAUAAGGGCCUGUCAGGCUAAUUUUUCAGUAUUUAGACACUCAAUCUGUUUAGGCUAGUAUUUCAGGUUCUUAUUUUAUCACAUGGAAACCAGUCAGAUCUAAAAAUGUAUAAAAAUCAAAGAGAAUAAACUCUUCACAAAGUAAUGAAAAUGAUCCAGAACCCUGAAAAUGUCAUUGAGAUAAAUAAAGUGUAGCUUUGCAGUGCAUACAGCUUUGUAUAAGUGCAUAUAUACUGGCAUUUUUAGAUGAUCAUGACUGAUAUAGUUACUAUACAUGUCUUGUCCAAAAGUGGGGUCUGGGGGUUUGAAAUCAGAGCUUUCUUUCUCCUAGAUGGAUUGCCAGCCAAGGCUUAUGAGCUCCAUCUACACAAAGGAAUCUGAUUUUAAGGUGCCAGACACUUGCCAGUUCAUAUUGUACUAUAAUUGCCUGAUUUUGUGUCACAAAGAGUGGCACCAUCCCAUUAUCUAUGUUGCCAGAACAGGCUGCUGUGCAUGGUCUGUUUUGGGACAAAAUUAGACAACACAGUAAAUUAAAACCCUGCGAAUAAGAACCUAGAUUUUUUCCAAGUUAGCCUAAACAGGUUCUUAUGUACAGGGUCUGAAAUAUAUUUUAGUAUCCUGAUAUCCACAGGAUACCAAAAAUUUGAUUUUGGAUACCAAAUUAUGAAUAAUACUAUCCUGACUGGAUACUAAAAAAUUUCCUUUGAUAGGCUCCUGAAAGUUUUUGAAUAUUAUCAGUUUACCACCAGUCUUUCCUCAAUGAGGACUAGCAUAUAGAAGUUUGUUGAAGGAUUAUGUGGAUUAAUUGUUUAUUUGUUGUUGACUGUGGAGUCUCCUCAGUUGUUAUUGUAAUUUGUAACAGUGAGUGUUAUGGAAACUUAUUUGGAUGGGAUAGGAUAUACUAAACUUUGAAUCCUGGUAUCCCCUUUGGAUACUGAGAAAAAAUAUAAAUUUCAGACCCUGAUGUAAAUGGCGCUUAUCUGAUUGUUCAUGUUACAAACUGUAAUUAUAUUUAGUAGCUAUAUUCAGUAUUCUCAGGGGGCCAUAUAAAGGCUAUAAAUAAAGCCCUGGAGUCAUGUUUGUGCUUUACCCCUUGGAGUUCUCCUUUAAUGUCUGUAUAUAUACAUAUUACCAUAUAACCCAAUAAAUCUGUUAAAGAAAGAUUCGUUGAUGUAAAUCAAAAUUUCAUCAGUGUUUCCUGGGCAUUCUGAUGAGCUCUGAUAUAGAGCGAAACAAGCAUAU